AGAUUGAACGCUGGCGGCAUGCCUAACACAUGCAAGUCGAACGGGAGUAGCAAUACUCUAGUGGCGGACGGGUGAGGAAUACGUAGGAAUUUGCCCUUAAGUGGGGGAUAACCCGGGGAAACCCGGAUUAAUACCGCAUGACCUCGAAAGAGCAAAGUGGGGGAUCGCAAGACCUCACGCUUUUGGAGAAGCCUACGUCGGAUUAGCUAGUUGGUGAGGUAAUGGCUCACCAAGGCGACGAUCCGUAACUGGUCUGAGAGGAUGAUCAGUCACACCGGAACUGAGACACGGUCCGGACUCCUACGGGAGGCAGCAGUGGGAAUAUGGACAAUGGGCGCAAGCCUGAUCCAGCAAUGCCGCGUGUGUGAAGAAGGCCUUCGGUUGUAAAGUCACUUUAAGUUAGGGAAGAAAAAACGUACGACUACUAACAACAGUGAGUCUUGACGGUACCGACAGAAUAA
Molecule: ribosomal RNA, 461 nt
Filed under: uncultured soil bacterium
Lineage: Bacteria
Description: bacterial SSU rRNA
Rfam family: Bacterial small subunit ribosomal RNA
Source: RNAcentral